UUUAGCAUGGAAUAAUAAAAUAGGACUUCGGUUCUAUUUUGUUGGUUUCUAGGACCUUAGUAAUGAUUGAUAGGGAUAGUUGGGGGUGCUAGUAUUCAGCGGCCAGAGGUGAAAUUCUUGGAUUCGCUGAAGACUAACUACUGCGAAAGCAUUCACCAAGGAUGUCUUCUUUAAUCAAGAACGAAAGUUGGGGGAUCGAAGACGAUCAGAUACCGUCGUAGUCUCAACCAUAAACUAUACCGACUAAGGAUCAGCGGGCGUCUCUUUUUGACCCCGUUGGCACUUUAUGAGAAAUCAAAGUCUUUGGGUUCCGGGGGGAGUAUGGUCGCAAGGCUGAAACUUAAAGGAAUUGACGGAAGGGCACCACCAGGAGUGGAGCCUGCGGCUUAAUUUGACUCAACACGGGGAAACUCACCAGGUCCAGAAAUCUAGA
RNAcentral lists this ribosomal RNA (433 nucleotides) under uncultured fungus. RNAcentral's name for it is "SSU rRNA". It matches the Rfam family "Eukaryotic small subunit ribosomal RNA", at positions 803 to 1236 of the family's 1831-position model. The record is from RNAcentral. Lineage: Eukaryota; Fungi.